GACGAACGCUGGCGGCGUGCUUAACACAUGCAAGUCAUGGGGGCCCGCAAGGGCAACCGGCGAACGGGUGCGUAACACGUGAGCAACCUACCGAUUUGUGGGGGAUAGCCGGCCUAACGGCCGGGUAAUACCGCAUACGCUUGUAAGGCCUCCUGGUCUAACAAGGAAAUCUUCGGAGCAGAUCGAGGGGCUCGCGGCCUAUCAGCUAGUUGGCGAGGUCACGGCUCACCAAGGCGACGACGGGAGCUGGUCUGAGAGGAUGGCCAGCCACAUUGGGACUGAGAAACGGCCCAGACUCCUACGGGAGGGCAGCAGUGGGGAAUCUUGCGCAAUGGACGAAAGUCUGACGCAGCGACGCCGCGUGGGGGA
This 369-nucleotide ribosomal RNA is filed under the name uncultured bacterium. RNAcentral's name for it is "bacterial SSU rRNA". It matches the Rfam family "Bacterial small subunit ribosomal RNA", at positions 28 to 408 of the family's 1533-position model. The record is from RNAcentral.